RNAcentral lists this transfer RNA (72 nucleotides) under Candidatus Riesia sp. RNAcentral describes it as "tRNA-Thr". It matches the Rfam family "tRNA". From Rfam's summary of the family: Transfer RNA (tRNA) molecules are approximately 80 nucleotides in length. Their secondary structure includes four short double-helical elements and three loops (D, anti-codon, and T loops). Further hydrogen bonds mediate the characteristic L-shaped molecular structure. tRNAs have two regions of fundamental functional importance: the anti-codon, which is responsible for specific mRNA codon recognition, and the 3' end, to which the tRNAs corresponding amino acid is attached (by aminoacyl-tRNA synthetases). tRNAs cope with the degeneracy of the genetic code in two manners: having more than one tRNA (with a specific anti-codon) for a particular amino acid; and 'wobble' base-pairing, i.e. permitting non-standard base-pairing at the 3rd anti-codon position. The record is from RNAcentral. Lineage: Bacteria; Pseudomonadati; Pseudomonadota; Gammaproteobacteria; Enterobacterales; Enterobacteriaceae.
GCUACUCUAGCUUAACGGUAAAGCCCUCCCUUGGUAUGGGAGUAGAUAAGAGUUCAAUUCUCUUGGGUAGCU